UAGGAAGUGGUGUAACGGAAGCACCAAGAGUUUUGAUCUCUUAGGUUUGGGUUCGAGACCCAUCUUUCUAA
This 71-nucleotide transfer RNA is filed under the name Sphyraena japonica (Japanese barracuda). RNAcentral's name for it is "tRNA-Gln". It matches the Rfam family "tRNA". Rfam says of the family: Transfer RNA (tRNA) molecules are approximately 80 nucleotides in length. Their secondary structure includes four short double-helical elements and three loops (D, anti-codon, and T loops). Lineage: Eukaryota; Metazoa; Chordata; Actinopteri; Sphyraenidae. The record is from RNAcentral.